Molecule: long non-coding RNA, 160 nt
Organism: Ipomoea nil (Japanese morning glory)
Lineage: Eukaryota; Viridiplantae; Streptophyta; Magnoliopsida; Solanales; Convolvulaceae
Exons: 3
Source: RefSeq, a predicted model, not a curated record
CUCUAAGAGAGCUAAAUUAUGGAGUGUUUAGUGGUCUUGGUCAUUUGGACAAACAAAGGCAAAAGUGGAGCAAAAGAGCAAGAAGUUGAAAUUCCCGCACAAAUCGUCCACUGCUCGGUAUUUUGGCCAUAUCUCUGCGUAGGAAUUAAUGAGGAUGUAA